UGGGGAAUUUUGGACAAUGGGCGCAAGCCUGAUCCAGCGACGCCGCGUGGAGGACGAAGGCCUUCGGGUUGUAAACUCCUUUUGGAGGGGAAGAAUAAAUUGACGGUACCCUCAGAAAAAGCCACGGCUAACUACGUGCCAGCAGCCGCGGUAAUACGUAGGUGGCGAGCGUUACUCGGAAUUACUAGGCGUAAAGCGUAUGUAGGUGGUUAGAUAAGUCUAUGGUGAAAUUUCCUGGCUUAACUGGGAAGGGACAUAGAUACUAUCUGGCUUGAGUGUGGGAGGGGGAGACGGAAUUCCUGGUGUAGCGGUGAAAUGCGUAGAUAUCAGGAGGAACACCGAUGGCGAAAGCAGUCUCCUGGCCCAAUACUGACACUGAGGUACGAAAGCUAGGGUAGCAAACAGG
This 406-nucleotide ribosomal RNA is filed under the name uncultured bacterium. RNAcentral describes it as "bacterial SSU rRNA". It matches the Rfam family "Bacterial small subunit ribosomal RNA", at positions 355 to 776 of the family's 1533-position model. The record is from RNAcentral.